UACAUAUUUCGCAGUGUUGUCUCCUGUUUGGGGGGGGGUGUGUGAAGAUGAGGAGAGAUCAGAUGCAAGAUUAGAGAGGAUGGUGCUGGAGACAACAUCUUGAGACAAUCUGGUUCCAUACUGCUAUGCCUUAACCUAUACUGAUGCUGAAGGGAUAUCCCAGGAUCUGUCUUCUUUCAGCUACACAAAUCCUUCUCAUUUCUAGUUUGUACUUUAUUGUGGCAAGCCUUUAGGAAUGCUCCCCAUAAAGGACCAGAAAUUAUUAGAGCUUGAAGUAAAUUGAGUCCAAGCUCUUCUAACCCUGCUUCUUGCCUGCCAGGUUUUCAGGUAGGGCACUGUUCCAGCUGGGAACAACUCGGUCUUUUAUUCCUGUGGUCUGCAGACCUGUUACAACCAGAUCCUUCCUUUGGCUGGGGAGGGGUUGUACCACCAGAUCAUGGUGGGGACUUGUCCACUUCACAUCUUCCUGCUCUCUCCUUCCCUCCCUUUGAUGCUUGUCUGAGAGCUCACCUUGCCUGGUGGAUUGAAUCUCACGCAGCUAGGCCAUUGCACGGGCUCACAGCCUCAUGCACAGGGGUUGCACGUAGCACGUUUACUGUUCACGUGAGGAGGGUUUAUGUUCCUGAAGCUCCCCUUGGUCCCCUGUGGAGCUGGUCCUUAACUAGCCUGAUGUUCUGCUCAGGGUCUGACCAGGUCCCUGGUGGGAUCCCAGCAGCUCCCACUGAUUUCAGACGGGAAAAGCAUGAAGGAGGCUGGUGAAUGGGACCCCUGGGAAACACUGCUUCACUUUGUCCUCAGAAGCACACGCAGCAGGGAAACUGCUUGGCUUUUCUCCUCUGCCUCAGAAAACAUCUCUCGUGUUCCAGUGACCUGCUUAUUAUGUAGGUCAACAUCAGCUGGAAGGAAAAAACAAUUUCAAAAGUAGGAGAAAUCUAGCAGGGUUCCUCCACGGAGCAGCACUUUCUGGAAAAGCAGGGAAAGUUUACCUGGGGGAGGUGGCAGGCAGUGUGGCCUGUUCCUCUUCCACCCACCCACCCUGGGGCAGAGCAGUCGGAGAGCAGAAACUCUGCAGCUGGAGGGAUGUGUGAUACCCUGAAAGCAAUCAGAUCCAGUGUGCCCUGUGAUGGGGGAACAGUGCAUUAAAGUAGACAGUAGGAACUUGACUUGAGUGGUCAGGGGCUGUUUGCCCUUUAAUGACUUUGUUGGGCUUGGGUUUGGCAAUUAGGACGUUGUUUCUGUUGGUCUUACCUUGAUUGUGUAUCUGCACAGUGGAGACCUGUGCCACGUGUGCUGCAGGAGCAGUCCCUGCUGGGAGACAAGACCGUCCCACCAGGGGUAAAAAAGGGACACAGAACAAGCAAACGCCUCUGGAUGCCAAAAGUAAAACUGGGACCUGAACCAAAAUUCAUCCCAGUGUCGUGCUAAUGCCAUUACCCUGGGGCUGCUCCAGUUUGCUCGUAGCAGAGCUGACACUUUGUGAUACCCACUGAGAAAAGAGAAGGCCCUUAGCAUAAACUGCUGACUGUAACCUAAGCAAGGGACAAAUUGCUCUGUGAACAAGAGGUCUGAUGAAGUCCAACUUCACUCACACUUGCCUCUGAUGCAGUAACUCUUAAUAUCCCUCACUAUCCUCACUUCUCUCAGAUCCCCUAAAUAUCGGCUGUGCCCUGGCUACUUCCUGCUUGGGAAAGUCUGUGUGUGUGUUUGCUGGCCAGCCAGCAGGCAGGUAGAGCUGCAGCCUUUCCUUUGCAGGAGCAUGAAUGUGACUCCCCUCUCUAUCUGCUCACUUAGGGAUUUCUCUUUCCCUUCAAAAUGUGUAGAAAUGCUAUGCUUUUGAGACAGCCAGGCUUGACAGGAGAAGCUGAAAUCACUCACAGGCUUCACUAGUAAUCAAGGUGAGGCAAUGUGAUCUUGUUAAUUGUUACCUUAGAAAAUGAGAUUUCAAUAUGCUGCGGUUUUGGCUAUGAAAAUGUGUAUGAGGAGGUGGGUUGUGCAGCGAGCAGAGGGCUCUGUCCGCCUCUGCCUUGCUGUUUGCUGGGUCCCCUCCCCAGGUCCCCAUCACGGCUGUGUUGCUGCUCACUGUAGCAGGGCUGGCUGAGCAACCUCUCACUGGGCACUUGCGCUGUUGCUGCGUUCAUCCCUGCUAAGGCUGAGUGUUUGAAGCCUCUCCAGUUGCAGGAGGCUCCUGGUACAGACUCUCAUGCUUGAAGGUGUGACUGACGUUUUCCCAGAAUACAGGUUCUUGCAGAGCUGCUUGCUUUGUUUCAGAUGUGCUUGUCUCCUGCAGCCUUUGCUCUUCACUUUAUACCAGCAUCUGCUGUGUUGUCUGGAUAAAGCACAUACAUCUGUCUGUGACUGGACUGUCCUCCCUCUUCGGCAUCUUGAUCUUGGUGGUUUCCAUGUAAUAUAUGAAGAUCUCUCUGUGGAUCACAGUUCUCCUGCUGUCUAACCCAAGGGUAAGCAGUCCUCCUUGUCUCAUCGCACCACAGUAGUCUAGAGAGAAGUCAGUGUAGGAAGCGAUACAACAAUGACAUUUUGAACAAAAUGACAUUUUUUUCACCUACAGUAAAAAGAUAUCUCCCAUGCUUUGUGCACCCACCCGGAGCAGAGCAUUAAUAAAGCAGGCAAGCAGGCGUGUAUCUUAGCUGGAGGCACUGCCAUGCGAUCUGCCAGUGCACCGCAGACAACUUGGAAGUCUUACUCAAGAUGUAGGAUUAGGAUGCCUGAUACGCUGUCCUUUCCUCCCACGGAUCCCGGGUUCCAGCUGCUUCCCACAUCUCCAGGAGCUGAUAAAAAAAAUCUCAUACAAUGGGUCAAGGAGAAAACGGAACGAGUCGCUUCCUGAAGGCAAAAAUGGGAGGUGGCUGUGAUCGCUGCAUCCUGGCUCGCCACCCCAAAGGAUUUGCCCUGCUGCAUGUUGCUUGCUGUUCCUUGGCUUGUGUGAGCACUUGGUGAGCUUCACCCCUGGAGCAAGCGUAAAUUGCUUAGAAUUUUCUGGAGAUAACAUGAAAGCCGAAAGCUGAAUAUGGACACUUUCCAAGGGUCAGAAUGUGUUAGGAACUGUCUUGUUAGUUGAAUCUGUGGGUGGAGGAUUCACAUCCAUUUACAAAAGUCUGAAGCUAGAUGGUGAAAUACCUUCUGCUCCUCCCAUUUCCCAGCACUUAAUGGAGUAGUAGAGCUCUGUUACAGCAUUUUGAAGGACUCAUGCUUAGAUAUAAACCAUUCUAUAGAGAAAAUACUGUACAGUAAUGUUUGUGCUGCUCCCUUGUCCUGCUGCUGGUGAAUCUCCCUCUGUUGACAAGCUCUUCAUUCAUUGGCAUGAUAGCAGCAAGCCUGCUUUCAGCACUGUUUCCAAACUUAGCCAACGCUUAGAACAGAUUGAUAGAGAACGGUAACCUGGGACUGCUAAUAAGGUGAGCUCAGGGGUUGUUCUGGGCUCUCAGCUGUCUGCUGGGUCUCUGUCACCUUAGAAAUAGCCUCCUCUGUUACAGAGCUUGCAAAAUGCUGCAGCCAGCCUGCCUCACUGGGCUGCGAGAGAGAGAGAAGCAGGAGCUCAGAUACUGGGUACUAUAGACGGGUCCUUUGCAUUGGUCCUGCUGGCAUGAAGAGGGUUUAUGCCGCACAAAGGCUUGCUGCAGUGUGUUUCAACAAGGGAAGCUCUUUCCUCUUGUUUGGCAGAGGCAUUCAUAGCCCCUUUGAAAGGUUAGUUUGCUACCAGGGAGCUUUUCCAGCUGCAGGAUGGGUCUCAGGGCAUAUGAGGAGUCCUUUCAUAUUCAGGAGUUCCUCCUCUUUUCAGGAGCCUGAAGGAGCUCUGUCAGUAUCAUGGUAGUGCCUGGAGCCCAGGGUCGGUAUAGCUUACAUUGAACACGUAAAGCUGGCUCAGGAAAAACUGUUGCCAGCUCUUCAAAUCCAGAGAGGGUGUUUCAGGGCAAAUUUCUUUAUGCACCCCCUCCCUUUCUCAUCAAAUAUAAGAAACAAAAGGCAAAACAUAUUCUUCCCAGUUAAACUCCUCCAGAGCUACAGAAGCCAAAGGAUGAAGGGCACAAUGCAGCCAGUGCCAGGGAGGGAGUGCACUGAAAGGUUGGAGCAUGUCACGGUGCCACUUCACGUGCCUGGAGCACGAGGGUGCCUGGGGGCUGUGACAAAGGUUAUGACAACCCAUAUCAGGCACAGCUUGACUGUCCUGGUGUGCUGGGCUGGCCUGAGCUGUAUGCCUGGCUCCUCCAAAAGUGGCUGUGCAGCUCAGAGGGAAAGAUGCUGAGCUUUCACCAGCCCAUUAGGCUUCUCACAGCAAAAAUACUAUCAAUGCCUGGGGAGAGUUGACAUUACGACUGUGCAGUCCUGCAGUGUUUAGAGAUGGGAGUAUUUUGCUUGGCUUGUAAUGAAUGUGCAGCCAAAGCUUGUAAGAUGUUUCUCCAGUGAAUCACAAAAACUUCAGAAACGGGGCACCGGGAUGCCCAAUGCUGCAGCUGUCCCUGCUCCUCCCUGUGGACCCACUCCUGGGUGCAGCCGGACACAGCACGGUCCUGUCAUUGCCUGCAGCCGUUCAACACGGCUUUACUGACUUCUGGGCUCUGGAGUCCCACCGCCGGUGGCUCUGGGAGUGAAAAGCAACAAGUGCUCUACAGCAAUUCCUCCUCUGGCUGCUCUGUUGUGCCAGGUCACAGGUCCCACCCUGUGAUGUCAUCGCCAUGCAGCACAGGCAUCACGGUGAUGUUUGAGAAUGUCCCAUGGGAACCUGCAGUUGGCCAGUUGGCUCCAGCUGGCCUUCGAUUGGUGUCUGGCUGGCCAGAGCAAUGGUUGCAGAAGAAAGGUCAAGCCCAAAUGAGACCAGGUGGUUUCAAAGGGAGUUGUCAACAGCUGAAAUCUUCUCCUCUUCCUCAGAUGAGCUGGGGGAGUCAUCAGGCUCAGCUUCUCCUGCCUCUCCAGGGUGGGAUGAUCAAGCCGCUGGGGACGAUGCUGUAGGAGCAGUGAUGGAAGAAGUGUCUUUCCAAGCUUGGAGUGAUGACAGCACUACUGAAAGACACACUCCUGUUUCUUUUGAGGAGAGCACUGCCAAAACUGAAAACCUCUCCUUUCUCAAGCAGCUCUGGAAAAUUACCUGGAGCGAUGAGUUUCAGUCCAUUUGGUGGGUUGAUGAUGGAGUCUUUGUUGCCAUCAACGAAGAAAUGUUCAAGAAGGAAGUGCUGGCAAGAAGAGGACUUGGGAUAGUUUUUGAAAUGGAGAGCAUGGAAUGUUUCCAUCGUCAGCUUGACCUCUGUGGGCUGUGCAAACUGCCAGAGGUGUCUGAUUUGUCUAAAUCAGGGGAUGAAUUUCCAGCAGAAGCAGCUGCUCCUGCUCCUAGAAAGGUACAUCAGUUCCUCUGCACAGGAACUGGCGGGAGAGACUGAUGUUGAAAUCAAGUAAGCCUUGGCAACAGAGGAGAUGGGGAUGGCCAUAAAUGUCCUCACCUUCAUUUCUUUCUCAGGUGAAAACCCAGGGCUGGUGAUGACUUAACAGAACCAUAUUGUAACGUUUGAGACAGCCCAAGCUUGAGGUUUCAAAUGCCCCUAAGAGUUCUUUUCAAUACCCCAGUUUGGCUUUUGCAAUUAAAAGUCUUAGUUCUCAUAUAUUUUGUUUUCCAGGCUUGAACUGGUUGCAACUAACUCUUCUCCUUUGCAUUUUUUAGUUUCUAUGCUUCUAUUAUAGCCCCAGCUUUAAAAGGGACCAUCCCCAGCUGCCAGCAAGGUGCAAGCCAAGAGUGGGCCACAAAAGGAGAGCCCCAGCUGCAUCGUGCCUGGAUGUGGAGCUGGAGGAAAGCUGCUCUACAAGCUGCCAACAUCUUUGGCCUGCGCAGGGAACUGCUGCUGGGGUGGAGAAGGAGGUGUUCACACCAGCUCCACCGCAGGACACGUGGGUGUCUCCCCCUUGGAGGUCCUCAAAAACAAAGCGCUGGGCUAAAGCACUUCCUGGCCUCAGCAGCGCCCAAACCCCUUCCCAGGCAGCUGCCCCCCCCCACUUCCCAACCACCUUUGGCACCAGGGCUGGGUUUUCCCACCUUCCCCCCGUGCAGCCCGGCGCAGUGGCUGGGCUGGUCCCCUGGGCUGGCCUCUGUCCCUGCUGCAACCCCUGGCAAUGCCCAUGCUGGCAGCAGCCCUUGCCACAGCCAUGCCAACGUCACCCCACGGACAAAGCCCAACAGCCCCACGUUGUCCCACCUGCACCUGUGCCACCAGCGCUGCAGGUAACGGGGCUGGACCCAGCAUGGCACGUGGUAGUUAGGGUAGGGAUAGUCGCUAGUGAGUGAAGAGAGCCUAAUAGAGGUGAAAAUAAAUAGGGUCUAAGAGAGUUGGUAAGAAAUGGAGCCAAAUAGAAUUGGUAAUAAACUGUUU
This is an RNA transcript of Grus americana (Whooping crane), 6371 nucleotides long. RefSeq lists it as uncharacterized. NCBI's taxonomy places the organism in Eukaryota, Metazoa, Chordata, Aves, Gruiformes, Gruidae. The transcript has 3 exons. The record is from RefSeq and is a predicted model, not a curated record.